Amphiprion ocellaris (clown anemonefish) is the source of this 1993-nucleotide long non-coding RNA. The record is from Ensembl. NCBI's taxonomy places the organism in Eukaryota, Metazoa, Chordata, Actinopteri, Pomacentridae.
CAAUACGACAUGCGGCCCACACAGCUUCUAAAAGAGCAGAAAAUUAAAGGAGGAAAAAAAUAUGCAGAUGGUCCCUUUUCCCCACAGGUUCACCUGUAGCAAAGAUGAAUGCAGCGCUGCUGAAUCCUCCCCUCGUCAAGUUUUUAAACUGGGUGAGCAAAUCGAGCGCACCGUCUCUACAACCUGCAAUAAUCUGUGUACGGGGCUCCGCACCCUACGUGAUGUUCCUAAAGAGCUGCAGCCCUGCACACAUAUCAGGACACUUUUCAAGAACAGCUGAGAGGUGUAGGCUACUACUAAGCGAGGUAUGUUGAGCAUAAAACCAGAGUUUUCUGUGUCAGGAAGGUGUGUCUGUUUUAACCUGGCUGGAUUACCGUGCUAACUUAUGCUGCAGGUACGGUUGCUACCUUUCAGAAAUGAAAAUAAAGGACGCCCACCACGGCUCCUUGGGGCCACAGUUCAGUAAAAUCGAGAAAGAAAAAAUGAAAGCUGCUACCGACCUCUCGCUUUUACAAAGUUUUUUUCAUGUUUUUUUUUGGCUCUUUAACCCAGUAGGAAAGCUGUAUAUGACCUUUUCAUUUUGGACUGUUAACAUUCAAAUUAUGAUGGACUUGUUUCCUUGUUUAUGUGAAUUACAACAUCAUUAGCUGUAACAUCUGCCUGUUCUGUAAAGCUGGUAGCUCAACGACAGCAUCCUGAGGGCAAUUAAGUGACAAAUACUGUGCAAGAACAGCACUAUUACAACCCUGUCAAUUUCCACUUCUUAGAAUGUUUACUGCCAAUUAUCACACAUAAAACAAGAAAUAAUAUUCUGUACUAAUACUUCUGUACUACCCAAUACACAGUGAAUAAAUAUUAUCUGAAAGUCGGGUUAUUGUUGUUUAUCAGCACAAUACAAAAAGAUUCAUGUUAGACAUAUUCCAAUUAAGACUAAUUAGGGCUGCACAGUGGUGUAGUGGUUAGCACUUUCGCCUUGCAGCAAGAAGGUCCCUGGUUCGCGUCCCGGCUUUCCCGGGAUCUUUCUGCAUGGAGUUUGCAUGUUCUCCCUGUGCAUGCGUGGGUUUUCUCCGGGUACUCCGGCUUCCUCCCACGGUCCAAAAAUAUGCUGAGGUUAAUUGAUCAUUCUAAAUUGCCCGUAGGUGUGAAUGUGAGAGUGCUUGUUUGUCUUUGUAUGUGGCCCUGCGACAGACUGGCGACCUGUCUAGGGUGUCCCCUGCCUUCACCCGAGUCAGCUGGGAUAGACUCCAGGUAAAUUUACCUCAAUAAUAUGAAUGUUCAGGUUAAGAUUGUACAGUGAUAUUUAUUAUGUAAGUUUAGCUGAUUAAAGUUUAUGACUCUGCACUAAAAUAUUAUUUAAAUUGACAUCAUUAUUAUAAUAUUUAGGGUCAGACCCUACAGUAUUGAGAUUAAGAAAUCAAAUAUUCUAUAAAAUGUAAAUACACUGAACUCAUUUGGAUAUAUUUAAGUGAGACUCUACAAUAUUAUUUGACACAAAUCUAUCUAAAUCAAAAUUUUAAUAAUUUUCACACCAAACAUUUACUGGACUGAUUUAAAUAUUAAAAUCACUCCUUUCUAAUCCUCUGCUGUACGUUCAAACCUGAGGCCUUAAAUAGAAACACACAAGUAUCUGAUUGAAGGAACUUCUGCAGAGUCCUGGUUCCAGAACAUGAUGAUAGAAUUAUAGACAAACUUUAACAAAAGCUGCCUGAGAGUUUACAGGUUUUUAUGUUGGAUUUCUUCAGUAAUUUAAUGAGCAUUAUCAGCAAUAAUCAAGUGUUCAUUUGAUGAACUUGAUUUCCUAAAACAUCCAGAAUUGGAGCUCAUAUCUUUGGCAGCUGUAAAGUUUCUGCUCCUUCAAAGUUCACAACACAAUGAAUGAAUUCCUAAAACACUCUCAAUGCUGGAGAGCGUUUGAUGCUGAAGCAGUGAUCAGUUUUUCUGUUUCUUCUCUGGAGAUGCACAAUGAGGGACGUCUGCAGUGACUGAGAAAGAG